CGAGAGGCUUUAUAGGAGAACAAAGACACACAUGGUGGUAUGCAAUUGCAAACCUGGGAAGAUUAAUGGAAGGGUUAUGAUGUAUUUUACAUUAUUGGAGUGAAAAUACUCAAGCCGGCAGUAUUUAUUUGGCAUCAUAAAGGUGUAAACUCCAGGUUUAUCCCGAGUUACAUUGGACUCGAGACUAACAUUUAUUGAACCAGGAGAAUAUACGGUAAAACCCUUCUAUCAAGUGCCUUUUUUUGAGGGAUAACUUUUCUAUUUCGGUAAAAGUACCAUGAAAGUUUCUGUACUAGGAGUUAAAUUACAUUUUGUCCUCUUUACUCAUAAAAUAAGUAAAUUAAUCCAUAUACGUUAGAUCAAAUAGCAAA
Molecule: long non-coding RNA, 371 nt
Organism: Gossypium raimondii (Peruvian cotton)
Lineage: Eukaryota; Viridiplantae; Streptophyta; Magnoliopsida; Malvales; Malvaceae
Exons: 2
Source: RefSeq, a predicted model, not a curated record